GAUGAACGCUGGCUACAGGCUUAACACAUGCAAGUCGUGGGGAAACGGCAUUAUGUGCUUGCACAUUCUGGACGUCGACCGGCGCACGGGUGAGUAUCGCGUAUCCAACCUGCCCCUUACUUGGGGAUACCCCGUUGAAAGACGGCCUAAUACCCGAUGUGUUUCAUUGACGGCAUCCGAUAUGAAACAAAGGUUUUCCGGUAAGGGAUGGGGAUGCGUCUGAUUAGCUUGUUGGCGGGGCAACGGCCCACCAAGGCGACGAUCAGUAGGGGUUCUGAGAGGAAGGUCCCCCACAUUGGAACUGAGACACGGUCCAAACUCCUACGGGAGGCAGCAGUGAGGAAUAUUGGUCAAUGGACGCAAGUCUGAACCAGCCAAGUAGCGUGCAGGAUGACGGCCCUAUGGGUUGUAAACUGCUUUUAUGUGGGAAUAAAGUGGCGCACGUGUGCGCCAUUGCAUGUACCUCAUGAAUAAGGACCGGCUAAUUCCGUGCCAGCAGCCGCGGUAAUACGGAAGGUCCGGGCGUUAUCCGGAUUUAUUGGGUUUAAAGGGAGUGUAGGCGGUCUGUUAAGCGUGUUGUGAAAUUUAGGUGCUCAACAUUUAACUUGCAGCGCGAACUGUCAGACCUGAGUACACGCAGCGCAGGCGGAAUUCAUGGUGUAGCGGUGAAAUGCUUAGAUAUCAUGAGGAACUCCGAUCGCGAAGGCAGCCUGCGGGAGUGUUACUGACGCUUAAGCUCGAAGGUGCGGGUAUCGAACAGG
RNAcentral lists this ribosomal RNA (761 nucleotides) under Prevotella nigrescens. Its description in RNAcentral is "bacterial SSU rRNA". It matches the Rfam family "Bacterial small subunit ribosomal RNA", at positions 28 to 776 of the family's 1533-position model. Lineage: Bacteria; Pseudomonadati; Bacteroidota; Bacteroidia; Bacteroidales; Prevotellaceae. The record is from RNAcentral.